This 468-nucleotide ribosomal RNA is filed under the name uncultured bacterium. Its description in RNAcentral is "partial 16S ribosomal RNA". It matches the Rfam family "Bacterial small subunit ribosomal RNA", at positions 28 to 507 of the family's 1533-position model. The record is from RNAcentral.
GAUGAACGCUGGCGGCGUGCUUAACACAUGCAAGUCGAACGGUGAAGGCGGAGCUUGCUCUGCUGGAUCAGUGGCGAACGGGUGAGUAACACGUGAGCAAUCUGCCCCUGACUCUGGGAUAAGCGCUGGAGACGGCGUCUAAUACUGGAUACGAGCUGCGAAGGCAUCUUCAGCAGCUGGAAAGAACUUCGGUCAGGGAUGAGCUCGCGGCCUAUCAGCUUGUUGGUGAGGUAACGGCUCACCAAGGCGUCGACGGGUAGCCGGCCUGAGAGGGUGACCGGCCACACUGGGACUGAGACACGGCCCAGACUCCUACGGGAGGCAGCAGUGGGGAAUAUUGCACAAUGGGCGAAAGCCUGAUGCAGCAACGCCGCGUGAGGGACGACGGCCUUCGGGUUGUAAACCUCUUUUAGCAGGGAAGAAGCGAAAGUGACGGUACCUGCAGAAAAAGCGCCGGCUAACUACGUG